Vigna unguiculata (cowpea) is the source of this 510-nucleotide long non-coding RNA. RefSeq lists it as uncharacterized. NCBI's taxonomy places the organism in Eukaryota, Viridiplantae, Streptophyta, Magnoliopsida, Fabales, Fabaceae. The record is from RefSeq and is a predicted model, not a curated record.
GUCAAUAGUCCCAGUUCCCUUAUUUUCUCGGCAUACUCUUCUUUUUUAUCUAUACAUACUUGUCCUCCAAAGACCGCUGCCAAAUAGAUUUCAUCAUUGUUGGGAGAAAAAUUACAUACAAUUGCCAUGCCUGUAAGAAACGUGUUGUCUAUUUCUUGUCAGAGGCAGUGUAUGACAGCGCUGCCAAUGAAACUUCAAGUCAUUUUAUUCGGGUUCAGCAAAACCCCGAUUGCAAGUGGAAAAUGGAGGAUCCGACCGGGAUCAAUCGGUAGAAGUUCGUAAGAAAAUCCACCCGCAUUUAUGGGAUAAGGCUCCAAGAAGAAAUUGUGUAGGGUUCGACGUGCAAAUAAGAAAGGAACUAUGGUGAUUGAUGUGGGGAAUGCAGGGAGGAUGGAGUUAUUGAAUUGUAGUUAUAGAUCCUUUACAUCAAUUCAUCAUUCUUAACUCAAUCCCUUGGUAUAUGCAUUUUUUUCUUCUACUUUAUAUAUAAUCAUUUACUUUCUGCGUUUC